Molecule: long non-coding RNA, 679 nt
Organism: Benincasa hispida (wax gourd)
Lineage: Eukaryota; Viridiplantae; Streptophyta; Magnoliopsida; Cucurbitales; Cucurbitaceae
Source: RefSeq, a predicted model, not a curated record
UUAAAGCAAUGAUCCAGUACUUCUUGGAGCAUGAGGUUCCACCUGCUGUACUCACGUAAAUGAUGAACUGGAUUGCCGAUAAGAACACAGACAACGAGGUUUGAGAAAAUGCAUUUCAGCCAUUAUCCAAGGCCUUUUUCCAGGAGUUGACUGAACCAAGUUCAUGGGUUGAGUGUGAUACCCUAAAUAUCCUAUUUCAGUUCGUAAAAGAUAAUUUUUAUAGACGACCAGAAAUGUAUAUGAACAGCUUCACCAUCCUGCCAAUUGGAGUAACGAGUCACCUUAAUGCUCGAAAUGGGGUCUACAAACAUAUUAAGAACAAGUCGACUUUUCAUGCUGCCGUAGUAUGGGAGGAAGAGACGUAUCUGGAUUAUGUCAUGGGUAAAUUCGACAUCAAGUGGUCAGAUGUGGACUUCGUGUAUACGACAACAAACAUCAAUCAACAUUGGAUGUUGAUUGCAUUCGAUCUAAAUGGAGGUCAGUUGUUUGUAUUUGAUUCACUACCGUCCAUGACAUCGAAGAAAGAGCUGGAGUCUUGCCUUGAACCAUUGACUUACACCCUACAAUCGCUUCUUCACUAUUGUGACUUCAAACGUUAGAAGUCGAACAUAGAAGCGUCUCGCUGGAAAUAUUUCGACCUACUGCUACGCACACACAGUACGAGUCGCUAGAUUGUGGA